GCAAGUUCUUCAAAAGCAUUGUAUUCAGGGAAACAACCACAUUUAAUGCACUCUUGAUUCGUCUGGACUGUUGUUAUACUGUGAAUCAUCCCAAUAGGCGCUGGGAACAUGAUGGAUAUGGACCUAUAGCACUGUACAAGUCAGACUGGGAUAGAAUUGGUGGCAUGGACGUGGAACGAUUUAGGCAUGCCUAAGGUGAUGAAGACUGGGACCUAGUAGAUAACAUUUUGGCAGCCGGCCUGGAAAUAGAACGCUUAAAGGUGCUUAACUUUUUUCAUUUUUAUCACACAAAAAAGGGAAUGUGGAAAGAUUCGGAACAAAAGUUGCCAUGAAAAUUUACUGUCGCAUGGAGAUUGAAAAUUCUUUAAAAGGGACAACAUAUAAUGCCGGCUGAUAGUUGAAUAAAAAAAUAAAAAAAUACAUUGUAAUAAUAUUUUUCUAUCCGAUUCAUUCCUUUGAUGUGUGCAAAAUCAGCUGGUCAGCCUUCAUUUACCAUUGAAGAUCUUUAUAUAAUUUCAAUGUCUGUCACUAUGCCAAGCCCACAGGUGCAUGAAAUAUUGUUACGUAGCUACGUUGAUGCAAGCACAAAAGAUUUUCCUCCAUUGGAAAUGUAAUGCACUAGUGAGGUUAGCACAGUAAUUGGGCUUUGAAAUUUUACAAUAGUUUAAUUGCUAAACGUCGUUUUUAUGUACACCUUGUAGAAUGCUAAUUAAAAGAAAUCAAAUGUUAA
Long non-coding RNA from Xenia sp. Carnegie-2017, 730 nucleotides. RefSeq lists it as uncharacterized. The record is from RefSeq and is a predicted model, not a curated record. NCBI's taxonomy places the organism in Eukaryota, Metazoa, Cnidaria, Anthozoa, Malacalcyonacea, Xeniidae. The transcript has 3 exons.